AACGAACGCUGGCGGCAGGCCUAACACAUGCAAGUCGAACGCUCCGCAAGGAGAGUGGCAGACGGGUGAGUAACACGUGGGAAUCUUACUAUCGGUACGGAAUAGCUCAGGGAAACUUGAGGUAAUACCGCAUACGCCCUUCGGGGGCAAGAUUUAUCGCCGAUGGAUGAGCCCGCGUCUGAUUAGCUAGUUGGUGAGGUAAUGACUCACCAAGGCGACGCUCAGUCGCUGGGUUGAGAGGAUGACCAGCCACACUGGGACUGAGACACGGCGCAGACUCCUACGGAAUGCAGCAGUGGGGAAUAUUGGACAAUGGGCGCAAGCCUGAUCCAGCCAAGCCGCGUGAGUGACUAAGGUCUUCGGAUUGUAAAGCUCUUUUACCAGGGACGAUAAUGACGGUACCUGGAGAAUAAGCCCCGGCUAACUUCGUGCCAGCAGCCGCAGUAA
This 447-nucleotide ribosomal RNA is filed under the name uncultured bacterium. RNAcentral describes it as "partial 16S ribosomal RNA". It matches the Rfam family "Bacterial small subunit ribosomal RNA", at positions 29 to 523 of the family's 1533-position model. The record is from RNAcentral.